RNAcentral lists this ribosomal RNA (1016 nucleotides) under uncultured bacterium. RNAcentral describes it as "bacterial SSU rRNA". It matches the Rfam family "Bacterial small subunit ribosomal RNA", at positions 357 to 1376 of the family's 1533-position model. The record is from RNAcentral.
AGGAAUAUUGGUCAAUGGGCGAGAGCCUGAACCAGCCAAGUAGCGUGAAGGAUGACUGCCCUAUGGGUUGUAAACUUCUUUUAUAAAGGAAUAAAGUCGGGUAUGCAUACCCGUUUGCAUGUACUUUAUGAAUAAGGAUCGGCUAACUCCGUGCCAGCAGCCGCGGUAAUACGGAGGAUCCGAGCGUUAUCCGGAUUUAUUGGGUUUAAAGGGAGCGUAGAUGGAUGUUUAAGUCAGUUGUGAAAGUUUGCGGCUCAACCGUAAAAUUGCAGUUGAUACUGGAUAUCUUGAGUGCAGUUGAGGCAGGCGGAAUUCGUGGUGUAGCGGUGAAAUGCUUAGAUAUCACGAAGAACUCCGAUUGCGAAGGCAGCCUGCUAAGCUGCAACUGACAUUGAGGCUCGAAAGUGUGGGUAUCAAACAGGAUUAGAUACCCUGGUAGUCCACACGGUAAACGAUGAAUACUCGCUGUUUGCGAUAUACGGCAAGCGGCCAAGCGAAAGCGUUAAGUAUUCCACCUGGGGAGUACGCCGGCAACGGUGAAACUCAAAGGAAUUGACGGGGGCCCGCACAAGCGGAGGAACAUGUGGUUUAAUUCGAUGAUACGCGAGGAACCUUACCCGGGCUUAAAUUGCAGAUGAAUUACGGUGAAAGCCGUAAGCCGCAAGGCAUCUGUGAAGGUGCUGCAUGGUUGUCGUCAGCUCGUGCCGUGAGGUGUCGGCUUAAGUGCCAUAACGAGCGCAACCCUUGUUGUCAGUUACUAACAGGUUCCGCUGAGGACUCUGACAAGACUGCCAUCGUAAGAUGUGAGGAAGGUGGGGAUGACGUCAAAUCAGCACGGCCCUUACGUCCGGGGCUACACACGUGUUACAAUGGGGGGUACAGAGGGCCGCUACCACGCGAGUGGAUGCCAAUCCCCAAAACCUCUCUCAGUUCGGACUGGAGUCUGCAACCCGACUCCACGAAGCUGGAUUCGCUAGUAAUCGCGCAUCAGCCACGGCGCGGUGAAUACGUUCCCG